GCCGCUGUGGCGAAAUUGGCAGACGCACUUGACUCAAAAUCAAGCGGAGUAAUCCGUGCCGGUUCAAGUCCGGCCAGCGGUACCA
RNAcentral lists this transfer RNA (85 nucleotides) under Coprobacillus sp. AF33-1AC. Its description in RNAcentral is "tRNA-Leu". It matches the Rfam family "tRNA". From Rfam's summary of the family: Transfer RNA (tRNA) molecules are approximately 80 nucleotides in length. Their secondary structure includes four short double-helical elements and three loops (D, anti-codon, and T loops). Lineage: Bacteria; Bacillati; Bacillota; Erysipelotrichia; Erysipelotrichales; Coprobacillaceae. The record is from RNAcentral. RNAcentral also lists the same sequence under 1 other name.